GAUGAAGAACGUAGCGAAAUGCGAUACGUAAUGUGAAUUGCAGAAUUCAGUGAAUCAUCGAAUCUUUGAACGCAUAUUGCGCUCUCUGGUAUUCCGGAGAGCAUGCUUGUUUGAGUAUCAGUAAACACCUCAACUCCCCUUUCUUUUUUUGAAAUGGGAGCUGGACUUGAGUGAUCCCAACGCUUUUCUCACCGAAAAGUGGCGGGUUACUUGAAAUGCAGGUGCAGCUGGACUUUUCUCUGAGCUAAAAGCAUAUCUAUUUAGUCUGCCUAAAAAACAGAUUAUUACCUUUGCUGCAGCUAACAUAAAGGAGAUUAGUUCUUGUGCUGUCUGAUGCAGGAUUCACAGAGACAGCUUCGGCUGGCCUUUGUAAACUCGAUCUCAAAUCAAGUAAGACUACCCGCUGAACUUAAGCAUAUCAAUAAGCGGAGGA
Molecule: unclassified non-coding RNA, 433 nt
Filed under: soil metagenome
Description: partial contains 5.8S ribosomal RNA, internal transcribed spacer 2, and large subunit ribosomal RNA
Rfam family: 5.8S ribosomal RNA (bases 1-120)
Source: RNAcentral